RNAcentral lists this ribosomal RNA (253 nucleotides) under uncultured bacterium. Its description in RNAcentral is "partial 16S ribosomal RNA". It matches the Rfam family "Bacterial small subunit ribosomal RNA", at positions 524 to 776 of the family's 1533-position model. The record is from RNAcentral.
GACGAGUGGUCCUAGCGUUAGUCGGAAUCACUGGGCUUAAAGGGUGCGUAGGCGGGCCAGUAAGUGCCUUGUGAAAGCCCCCGGCUCAACCGGGGAACCGCAGGGCAUACUGCUGGUCUUGAGGAAGCUAGAGGCUGGUGGAACGAUAGGUGGAGCGGUGGAAUGCGUAGAGAUCUAUCGGAACGCCGAUGGUGAAGACAGCCAGCUGGGGCUUUCCUGACGCUGAGGCACGAAAGCGUGGGGAGCAAACAGG